This 301-nucleotide ribosomal RNA is filed under the name uncultured bacterium. RNAcentral's name for it is "partial 16S ribosomal RNA". It matches the Rfam family "Bacterial small subunit ribosomal RNA", at positions 509 to 807 of the family's 1533-position model. The record is from RNAcentral.
CAGUCGCCGCGGUAAAACGUAGGGUGCGAGCGUUAAUCGGAAUUACUGGGCGUAAAGGGCUCGCAGGCGGUUUCUUAAGUCUGAUGUGAAAGCCCCCGGCUCAACCGGGGAGGGUCAUUGGAAACUGGGAAACUUGAGUGCAGAAGAGGAGAGUGGAAUUCCACGUGUAGCGGUGAAAUGCGUAGAGAUGUGGAGGAACACCAGUGGCGAAGGCGACUCUCUGGUCUGUAACUGACGCUGAGGAGCGAAAGCGUGGGGAGCGAACAGGAUUAGAUACCCCCGUAGUCCCUGUCUCUUAUAC